GACCCAAUGGCACAACGAUUAGUGUGCUUGCUUUCAAUUGUAAGGAAUGUCGUAGGAUUUAGGCAAGAGGUCCCUGUUCGAUUCGGGGUUGGGUCA
Mycena alexandri is the source of this 96-nucleotide non-coding RNA. The record is from the annotation of a GenBank genome assembly. NCBI's taxonomy places the organism in Eukaryota, Fungi, Basidiomycota, Agaricomycetes, Agaricales, Mycenaceae.